Molecule: ribosomal RNA, 253 nt
Filed under: uncultured bacterium
Lineage: Bacteria
Description: partial 16S ribosomal RNA
Rfam family: Bacterial small subunit ribosomal RNA
Source: RNAcentral
UACGUAGGGUGCGAGCGUUAAUCGGAAUUACUGGGCGUAAAGCGUGCGCAGGCGGUAAGUUAAGUCUGAUGUGAAAGCCCCGGGCUCAACCUGGGAAUGGCAUUGGAAACUGGCUUGCUGGAGUGUGGCAGAGGGGGGUGGAAUUCCGCGUGUAGCAGUGAAAUGCGUAGAGAUGCGGAGGAACACCGAUGGCGAAGGCAGCCCCCUGGGCCAACACUGACGCUGAGGCGCGAAAGCAUGGGGAGCGAACGGG